ACCAGACUCCUACGGGAGGCAGCAGUGGGGGAUAUUGCACAAUGGGGGGAACCCUGAUGCAGCGACGCCGCGUGGGUGAAGAAGUAUUUCGGUAUGUAAAGCCCUAUCGGCAGGGGAGAAUUUAGACGGUACCUGACUAAGAAGCCCCGGCUAACUACGUGCCAGCAGCCGCGGUAAUACGUAGGGGGCAAGCGUUAUCCGGAUUCACUGGGUGUAAAGGGAGCGUAGACGGCCAUGCAAGCCUGGAGUGAAAGCCCGGGGCCCAACCCCGGGACUGCUCUGGGAACUGUGCGGCUGGAGUGCGGGAGGGGCAGGCGGAAUUCCUGGUGUAGCGGUGAAAUGCGUAGAUAUCAGGAGGAACACCGGCGGCGAAGGCGGCCUGCUGGACCGCGACUGACGUUGAGGCUCGAAAGCGUGGGGAGCAAACAGGAUUAGAUACCCCUGUAUUU
RNAcentral lists this ribosomal RNA (449 nucleotides) under uncultured bacterium. Its description in RNAcentral is "bacterial SSU rRNA". It matches the Rfam family "Bacterial small subunit ribosomal RNA", at positions 330 to 795 of the family's 1533-position model. The record is from RNAcentral.